This 279-nucleotide long non-coding RNA is filed under the name Brassica napus (rape). RNAcentral describes it as "long non-coding RNA (BNAP_LNC015904)". The record is from RNAcentral. Lineage: Eukaryota; Viridiplantae; Streptophyta; Magnoliopsida; Brassicales; Brassicaceae.
CCCUUAACAGAUCCCUCACGGUAUGGUGAGAAGCACAAGAUCCAAACACGUUCCCCCACGACUGAGCCCGCGGGUCCCAUAGCAGUUUGGGUGGCAGCGGAGCCAACUCUUCGAAGAUCCCACCAGGAUGGUAAAUAGUUGGACGACAGUCUAUCUGGUAGAAACAAACUCUUGUGCGAACCCGUCUCGAAGGCGUCGGGGACCGACCAGACUCAUCAGUGUCGCCACGUUUGGAACCAGUCGCAGUAUCGCUUUGGUCUCCCCCUCUAUCCUCACUUC